UGGUGGCGAUAGCGAAGAGGUCACACCCGUUCCCAUACCGAACACGGAAGUUAAGCUCUUCAGCGCCGAUGGUAGUUGGGGGCUUCCCCCUGUGAGAGUAGGACGCUGCCAAGCU
RNAcentral lists this ribosomal RNA (115 nucleotides) under Bacillus pumilus. The record is from RNAcentral. Lineage: Bacteria; Bacillati; Bacillota; Bacilli; Caryophanales; Bacillaceae.